AGGGCACCACCAGGAGUGGAGCCUGCGGCUUAAUUUGACUCAACGCGGGGAAACUUACCCGGCCCGGACACCGUAAGGAUUGACAGAUUGAGAGCUCUUUCUUGAUUCGGUGGGUGGUGGUGCAUGGCCGUUCUUAGUUGGUGGAGCGAUUUGUCUGGUUAAUUCCGAUAACGAACGAGACUCUAGCCUAUUAAAUAGUCGGUAAAUCCUUUGUUUACUGUACUUCUUAGAGGGACAGAAGGCGUCUAGCCUUACGAGAUUGAGCAAUAACAGGUCUGUGAUGCCCUUAGAUGUUCGGGGCUGCACGCGCGCUACACUGAAGGAUUCAACGUGAUUUUUCACCUGUUCUGGAAAGAAUGGGUAACCCGUUGAAACUCCUUCGUGAUUGGGAUAGGGGCUUGUAAUCAUUCCCCUUGAACGAGGAAUUCCUAGUAAGUGCGGGUCAUCAUCUCGCGUUGAUUACGUCCCUGCCCUUUGUACACACCGCCCGUCGCUACUACCGAUUGGAUGACUUAGUGA
RNAcentral lists this ribosomal RNA (519 nucleotides) under uncultured eukaryote. RNAcentral's name for it is "SSU rRNA". It matches the Rfam family "Eukaryotic small subunit ribosomal RNA", at positions 1161 to 1704 of the family's 1831-position model. The record is from RNAcentral.